AACGAACGCCGGCGGCGCGCCUAAUACAUGCAAGUCGAGCGAGAAGACGUAGCAAUACGUUUGUAAAGCGGCGAACGGGUGAGGAAUACAUGGGUAACCUACCCUCGAGUGGGGAAUAACUAGCCGAAAGGUUAGCUAAUACCGCGUACGCUCCUUGGACUUCGGUUCAUGGAGGAAAGCGAUACCGUGGGUAUCGCGCUCUUGGAUGGGCUCAUGUCCUAUCAGCUUGNGGUGAGGUAACGGCUCACCAAGGCUUCAACGGGUAGCUGGUCUGAGAGGACGAUCAGCCACACUGGCACUGCGACACGGGCCAGACUCCUACGGGAGGCAGCAGUAAGGAAUAUUGCGCAAUGGGCGAAAGCCUGACGCAGCGACGCCGCGUGGGGGAUGAAGGUC
Molecule: ribosomal RNA, 396 nt
Filed under: uncultured bacterium
Lineage: Bacteria
Description: bacterial SSU rRNA
Rfam family: Bacterial small subunit ribosomal RNA
Source: RNAcentral